GAACGUGCACCCUUGUGUAGGCAGGAGAAUUGGCUUUCCAAGGGUCUCUCCUGAGUGAUCGAACGGCUCUGCAUGGGGACACCUGAGGUCACCUCCAGUCCUGGCCUGGCCCCAGCCAGCCCAGAGCACCCUUCGCGUAGGGCUGCAGGAAGGUCUCUUGGGUACACGGAAUGUAUGGACUCUCUCGCAAAGGCCUCCCAGGGACACCAGGGGCUCAUUAGCUGCCAGCUGGAGAGUCCUUCUUUACCGCCCCCACGGCUGGAUCCAUGGCCCCACAGCUCCUGAUGCCGGUGUCUGUCACAGAAGUCCUCCAAGAGCACGUGAUGGGCUCCUUUCUUGUCAGCUUCCCCCAUUGUCACCUGAGUUCCUCAUGGGCAGGACUAUGAGUCCUUACGUCUGGAUGUCCUCAACAAUGAGCGUGUAGAAAAUAUUAUCAGGAAUAUUUGCUGAUCUAAUGUCUGAUUGAAUAAACACAUAAAGGAAGCAAGGAGGGAGAAAGGGCAAGAGGGACUGAGGAAAUAGAGAGAGAGGGAGUUUAGAACUGAAUGUAUGUUAAAUUUUAAAGAUGAUCACCCCAGAUUGUUAAGCUAUUUACUUUUCUUCCUUUAUCUGUUUGUCCUUUGGUCUCUAUCCUUAAAGUGGUAUAUAAUUAUGUUAUCAAGGAAGAAGUAAAGUGACCUAAGU
This is a long non-coding RNA of Myotis brandtii (Brandt's bat), 684 nucleotides long. RefSeq lists it as uncharacterized. The transcript has 3 exons. NCBI's taxonomy places the organism in Eukaryota, Metazoa, Chordata, Mammalia, Chiroptera, Vespertilionidae. The record is from RefSeq and is a predicted model, not a curated record.